This 305-nucleotide ribosomal RNA is filed under the name uncultured bacterium. RNAcentral describes it as "bacterial SSU rRNA". It matches the Rfam family "Bacterial small subunit ribosomal RNA", at positions 337 to 634 of the family's 1533-position model. The record is from RNAcentral.
GCCUACGGGGGGCAGCAGUAGGGAAUCUUCCACAAUGGGCGAAAGCCUGAUGGAGCAACGCCGCGUGGGUGAAGAAGGUCUUCGGAUCGUAAAACCCUGUUGUUAGAGAAGAAAGUGCGUGAGAGUAACUGUUCACGUCUCGACGGUAUCUAACCAGAAAGCCACGGCUAACUACGUGCCAGCAGCCGCGGUAAUACGUAGGUGGCAAGCGUUAUCCGGAUUUAUUGGGCGUAAAGGGAACGCAGGCGGUCUUUUAAGUCUGAUGUGAAAGCCUUCGGCUUAACCGGAGUAGUGCAUUGGAAACU